GAAAAUUUAAACUCUCUAUCUCAACAAACACUCAAUAACACAAAUGUCUCACUCUGUUUUUCAAACCGCUCAAAUCAUGCCCAUAAAUACCCAACUGCUCCCUACUUCCACUAAACCCUUAUUUCCGGCAAUAGUUAUCCGGCGACCAGUUCUACGGGUCGGCGGGACGCUCCGUAAAAUUAAUGUCAUUAGGGCAUCGACUUCCCCGGUCAUCGACGGCGAUGCCAUUGCCGGUUUGGAGCGGUGCUUUCAAGCUACACCGUCGGUUGAUCCUCCAUCAUCGUCCUCCUCUACCAGUAUGUCCGCCCCGGUAAUGAAAGGAGGGGGAAAAUAUGGUGCUUUUGGUGCAGUUACGUUGGAGAAAUCGAAACUUAAUUUGACCCAGAAACAGACCCAGUCUAGCCCUGAGAUUUCAACCGGAGGAGGAGGUGGAAAUAUGGGAAAGAAUUUAAAUCAUGGUGGUGGUGAUGGAGG
This 474-nucleotide unclassified non-coding RNA is filed under the name Hevea brasiliensis (rubber tree). The record is from RNAcentral. Lineage: Eukaryota; Viridiplantae; Streptophyta; Magnoliopsida; Malpighiales; Euphorbiaceae.